This 71-nucleotide transfer RNA is filed under the name Bivetiella cancellata. RNAcentral describes it as "tRNA-Leu". It matches the Rfam family "tRNA". From Rfam's summary of the family: Transfer RNA (tRNA) molecules are approximately 80 nucleotides in length. Lineage: Eukaryota; Metazoa; Mollusca; Gastropoda; Neogastropoda; Cancellariidae. The record is from RNAcentral.
AAUAAAGAUGGCAGACUAGUGCAUUAGAUUUAAGAUCUAAAUAUGAAAAUGAAAUUUAUUUCUCUUUAUAA